Molecule: ribosomal RNA, 547 nt
Filed under: uncultured bacterium
Lineage: Bacteria
Description: bacterial SSU rRNA
Rfam family: Bacterial small subunit ribosomal RNA
Source: RNAcentral
UGGGGAAUAUUGCGCAAUGGGGGGAACCCUGACGCAGCCAUGCCGCGUGAAUGAAGAAGGCCUUAGGGUUGUAAAGUUCUUUCGGUAUUGAGGAAGGUUGAUGUGUUAAUAGCACAUCAAAUUGACGUUAAAUACAGAAGAAGCACCGGCUAACUCCGUGCCAGCAGCCGCGGUAAUACGGAGGGUGCGAGCGUUAAUCGGAAUAACUGGGCGUAAAGGGCAAGCAGGCGGUUAUUUAAGUGAGGUGUGAAAGCCCCGGGCUUAACCUGGGAAUUGCAUUUCAGACUGGGUAACUAGAGUACUUUAGGGAGGGGUAGAAUUCCACGUGUAGCGGUGAAAUGCGUAGAGAUGUGGAGGAAUACCGAAGGCGAAGCNAGCCCCUUGGGAAUGUACUGACGCUCAUGUGCGAAAGCGNNGGGGAGCAAACAGGAUUAGAUACCCUGGUAGUCCACGCUGUAAACGCUGUCGAUUUGGGGGGUGGGGUUUAACUCUGGCGCCCGUAGCUAACGUGAUAAAUCGACCGCCUGGGGAGUACGGCCGCAAGUUA